Long non-coding RNA from Brassica napus (rape), 1135 nucleotides. RefSeq lists it as uncharacterized. The transcript is spliced from 3 exons. The record is from RefSeq and is a predicted model, not a curated record. Lineage: Eukaryota; Viridiplantae; Streptophyta; Magnoliopsida; Brassicales; Brassicaceae.
GUGUUUUUUUAAUAUUUAAAAUUUCAGUUAUGGAGUUUUAAUUUUUUCACAAAAAAACAACAACCAUAAGAUGCUAUAUAAAAUAUAGUAUUCAUUAACUUUCUUUAUAUAAAAAAUGUAAAUGUCAAUUAUUUACAAAAUUGGGCUAUACCAUAAACUUCCUAAAUUAUUUACACAUUACAUUAAAUCUGGCCCAUAUAAAAAUUGUAAUCAAUGUCCAUUAGCCCAACUAAUUACUCCGGGAAAGGGUUUGUUAUCUAACAUGCUAAUAAAAAACUAAAACAAUUUUUUUUUUUGCUUCUUUUUUCUCGAUCUGUCGGUGCCUCUCUCUCUUUCUUAACUCUUUGUCUUCUUCGUGUUCUUCAAUCCUUCAAACACCUAACUCAAAUACAGAAUCUGAACUACUUUGAUUUCAUGUUCACUCUCAAUCCAGAUUAAAUACAAUCGAUCUAUUGUAUUACAGGUUGAUGCAACAUAUAAAAUGGAGCUUUCUUUGAAACAUCAUCUCCACCAUGUUUCAUCUCCGCCAUGUAACUGAUUCUGACAAUAAGCAGAUAAGUAUAAAUUUUUUAUGUUUGUUUGUUCUGUAAAAUCUCAUUUAUUAUCCUUCUUUCUCAAUUCAUUGUGUUUGUUUGUUCUGUAAAAUGUUUGAGAAUAAUUUAUAUGUUUUAUUUGAUUUAUGAGGAAAACGAAGAUUCAAUCCUGAAUUCUAACAAUUCCCUAUACGCAUUUGUCGUAGAGAACAAAGACCAGACUCGAGAUGACCAAUUCCAUAUACGCAUUUGUCGACCAACUGGAACAAAACAAUGGACGCACUCAAGAAUAUCUCUUCCAUAGCUGGUGGUUUGUUUCCAGGAAUGAAGCAGUUUCAGAGUGAGACGCCAUUCAUCUCGGAACAGUUUGAGAUCCUUAAUAAGACAUAUUUUUCUUUCGUUUGACAUGUUUGCUGUGAGACCUCGAUGCUAAAGUCUUUGAAUGUAGUCUCAGUAUAUAUAGAUGGGUGAUGAAAUAUAGGUUAAGCUGUAUUUAUGGCGAGGAUAUAUGUAUCAUCGAUAUUUUUUCCUUUCUGUUUUUGACGAAAUCAUAUAUAUUGUAAUAUAUGUUAUUCAAACUUAGAUACUAUUGAUCUUGUUCA